Molecule: ribosomal RNA, 492 nt
Filed under: uncultured bacterium
Lineage: Bacteria
Description: partial 16S ribosomal RNA
Rfam family: Bacterial small subunit ribosomal RNA
Source: RNAcentral
AGUGAACGCUGGCGGUAGGCCUAACACAUGCAAGUCGAACGGCAGCACAGUAAGAGCUUGCUCUUACGGGUGGCGAGUGGCGGACGGGUGAGGAAUACAUCGGAAUCUACUUUUUCGUGGGGGAUAACGCAGGGAAACUUACGCUAAUACCGCAUACGACCUACGGGUGAAAGCAGGUGAUCUUCGGACCUUGCGCGAUUGAAUGAGCCGAUGUCGGAUUAGCUAGUUGGCGGGGUAAAGGCCCACCAAGGCGACGAUCCGUAGCUGGUCUGAGAGGAUGAUCAGCCACACUGGAACUGAGACACGGUCCAGACUCCUACGGGAGGCAGCAGUGGGGAAUAUUGGACAAUGGGCGCAAGCCUGAUCCAGCCAUACCGCGUGGGUGAAGAAGGCCUUCGGGUUGUAAAGCCCUUUUGUUGGGAAAGAAAAGCAGCAGGUUAAUACCCCGCUGUUCUGACGGUACCCAAAGAAUAAGCACCGGCUAACUUCGUG